RNAcentral lists this long non-coding RNA (3832 nucleotides) under Macaca mulatta (Rhesus monkey). Its description in RNAcentral is "lncRNA (ENSMMUG00000058697.1)". Lineage: Eukaryota; Metazoa; Chordata; Mammalia; Primates; Cercopithecidae. The record is from RNAcentral.
AUGUGGCUUCCACAUUCUCUUCUUACCCUUCUUUUUCUUCAUGAUUGGCCUGAAAAAUUGAACUCUUUGUAUCUUAGAAUGAAAAAGGGAAAUUUUUCUUAUUUUGAUUUUUCCAUGUGUUGGAACCGAACUGUCGAUUCUCUCCUGGGCAGGGGUCGCCGCGAAGGAUCACCGACACGAGAUUCACAGCAGAGAGUUGUUUAUUACUAGCGCGCUAGGGUCCCAAGCUCUAAGUUGGCCCUGGGACCCCGAGUGCUUGUUACAGGUUGUUUAUAUAGGCAAACACAAGUUUAAACACAGCUUAGGGCGUGAAAUUCAAACAAAGCUUUAGGCAUGUGGUAAUUGGGUCUGUCUAUGGCCUGAGCAAGGUAUCUUGUUCUGAUUGGUUGGGGCGGGACCUUAGGAGGUUCUUUCCUGGAAUUGCUGAUUCCGGGAACAUCGGGGACAUUGAGGCAGGGUGGGACCCCAUGAGGCUAUCAGGGUGGGACCCCAUGAGGCUAUUUCCCGGAAUUGUCUUUCUGUUUGGGUUCUGGGAACAUCGGGGGGCUAUCCGUGGCCAUCUGGGGUUUAAGUUUCAUGAUGGCCAAGCUUUUUAAAUUUUAUGAGGCUUAGGAAUUAUGAGGCCUAGUUUCACAUGAAGCACAUUAAAUGUCAUAUCAAGGCCUCCAGGAUAAAGGUGUGGAGGCUGUAAUCAAAGGUGAAUAAAGCCCUUCCUUUGACUUAUAGCUUUGUGUAGAGUCUGGGUAGUUGUUCAUGAACCUCAUUUUCUUUUCUUCCUGGUCACACAGCCAGACAUUUCCCAGUCACUCUUCAAGGUAGGUGUUGCCACAGGGCUGAGUUCUGGCUAGUGCAAUGUAGUUGGAAGUAAUAGCUGUCACUUCCAGCCCCAGCCUCUCAAACUCUCACUCUUUUCCCUUCUCUGCUGGAUUUAACGGAUGAUCUCAGAGGGGCUCUAAGGCCCAGGGGAUACCAGAACUACAGAAUGGAAGAGACGGGCCCUUGAAUCCCAAGUGAAUAGCUGCCUGCUGAACUCCCACAUUCAACUGGGCAUGAGCAAGAAAUAGACUUUUUUUGCAUGAAGCCUCAGAGAUAAGGGUUGUUUGUCACAGAGUCCAGCCUGCCCUCUUACAGAUACAGCCUUUGGGUACUUACAUAGGCACGUGAUCCUUUUUAUCUUCACUGUGUCCUUCUCAAGCACAGAGAUUUGCCCAAGGCCUAUGGUUGAUGUUUGAUUAAGCUGGAACUAAUCCCCCAGUCCCAUAGAAUCUCUGAUUGAGAAGUUUUUGUUUUGUUUUGUUUUGUUUUGUUUUUUCCAGAGACAGGUUUUUCUCUGUCUCCAGGCUGGAGUGCAGUGAUGUGAUUAUAGCCCACUACAGCCUGGACUCAAGUGAUCCUCUCACCUCAGCCUCCUGAGUAGCUGGGAUUACAGGUGUGGGUCAUUGCACCUGACCCCAUGAUCAGUAGAUUAAUGAGUAUAAUUCUAUAAGCACCUUUGCAUGACCUCUGUGUGUGCAGGUACUAUGCUAGAUACUGGGAACACAGAAGUAAUUGAUCCCCAAUGAUUGUUUAGUUCAGCUACACAGAAUUCUUAAGUUAACAUCUAUAAUAGUGUGCAAAAUUAAAUACCUUCCCAAACCAGGCAGUAAUAUCAAUAUGUAAAUCAGGCUGAGCGUGGAGUAGGAAGGUCUUCAGGAAACUGAAGAGUGGAGACAUCAGCCAAAGGUGUUUAAAUAAAAAAUCUGAAAACACCAUGCUGGCCUGGCAAAGCACAUCUCUGGGUUGGAUUCAGCCCACUGGCUCUCAGUUUGUGAUCCCUGCUCUGCAGCACCUCUGGAAUGGUCCUGUGGUCAUUGAGUUGCAUGCCAUUAUAAUGGCAACUGCUUAGAGUAGAUCUGUAAUCUCAGGCCAAUUAGAAACCUCAAGAUUCAAUUCCAAGACUUUUUUUUGUGCUGUCUGAAAAGUGGACAAUCUUUUCCCCAUUUUUGUUGCAUGUGAGAUGAUGAUAGUUCUGGCUCCUGUGACCGUCUUACAACCAUGAGUGGAGGCAAGAUCCUUAUGUCUGAGAAUAAAGCCCAGAUGGAGAAGGCUGAAACCAAGAAGCACAGAGACAGAAGCCAAGUCUUGGUCACCUGAGCCCUUGAUCGAGCUGCUGCUGAAUACAAUAUGCCCCUACUAUUUUAAACUUCCUGAACCGAUAAAUCCCUUAUUUACUUAAGCAAACUUGGGUUGGGUUAGGUUUUUGUUUACUUGCAAACUGGUGCACGGUUCUCUUUAAAAGGGGAUCUGGUGAAUAAAAUUUCUCCGACUCCUUAAACACAACAGAUGUGCCACAGGGUGGGGCGAAGAUCUAGCAACUUCCAAGUCUGAAUAUCCAUGGUGGGGCUCAGUGGUUACACUAGAAUUACCAAAAUCCUUUCACAUUACUGAAAGAGAAGGCAGCCUGUUGUGAAGAAAAGUCCUCCUACACAUUUCUGUUCCAUCUCUGCAGCAUGAAAAGGAUGAGACCUCUUGUAUGUCCACAUUUAAUGACUUUCUGUUACUUGAUCCUAGAAAUAGAGUUGUUUUCAGACAAGAGUCUCCCAAUAAAGGAGAUUUCUUACCUUCAAAAGACGGCAAGAAAAGAACUCAAGAUCUAGGAUGGUGGCAGCACAGGCAGAAAAUCUGUAUUUGAUUUUAGGUCUACGUCAUCGUCUGCUGCAUGGCCGUUGAAGUAACCCUGGUGCUGUGCUACUCAUCAAUCCACCAAUAUUUACUGGGCACUGGCUGUAUCAGGAACCAUGGGAGGCACGGGGAUCUUGCAGAUUAUACCCAUCUCCAAGGCUGUUGGGCACCAGAGACACAGGUUGUUUACUCCUGAGAUACAGCAUUACACGGGAACUAAUUUUCCAUUUGUUUAUAGUUUAUGGGAAACAAGAAAGCAAUGAAUAUAUUUGAGCCUGGAUUAUGCAUCCUAUUCCAGGAUUAAGAAAAAGGUACUCAGAGGCAGCAAAAGUAAAAACACACAUGAAUGUAGCCACGGUUCCCAGGACUCCAUGCUGAUGCGCAUCCAGUCUUUGUUGUCACAAGAGUUGUAACUUUUGUAUGUGUGUGUAAGGGCUAAAGAUGUAUAAAUUGGGGCUAAUCCUUAAUCCACAGUCUGUGAUUGAUCAAAGAUGAUAGGUUCAAAACAAAGCUCAAAGCUUUCUUGUACUGUGUUUUGUGCUCUAGGGACUUGGAUUCCUUGGCCUUUGUGACACUCUACUUAUAACAUGCCCAUUUGUGGUCAAAUGCUACCUUUUAUACCCUCUGAGGGAAGAGUAGUCUCAUUUAUUGUUGUAACUUCCACUAUACCUAACAUCAGGAAGGAAAGAAGAAAAGAAGUAAAGAAGAAAGGAAGAAAGAAUGGAGGGAGAAAGACAAGGGUUUGGAGAACAUUUAAAUAAAUAUUCUUGCCAUUAAUGAAGCGGCUAUCAAUUUCCUUACUUGUUACAUUCAGAAUUCAAAUAAAAGAAAAUUCUCAUCUUGCAUUUGUCCACAUUUUGAUCCAUAGAGGUGGUUUUCAGUGUGAGAACAUCACUCAAGAUAGGAGAGGCAACACAGGGCAGAGGAAGGGCCCUACACAGGCCCAGAACAUAGUCCCUGCUCCAGCAUAUCAUUGUUGAGAGGUUUUGAGCAAGUACCUUCAUUUCUCUGAGCCUUAAUUACUUCAUUUAUAAAAUGGGGGCCAUAAAACCUGCCUCACAGCAUUGCAGAACCAAGUGAGCUAGCAUAUGUGAAAUUGCUUCAUAAAUGGUAAAAUGAAGUACCCCAUAAUCAUGAAAUUGAUUUAACGCAAACUUCAUAUCUUCCAAUU